RNAcentral lists this long non-coding RNA (9758 nucleotides) under Citrus sinensis (sweet orange). Its description in RNAcentral is "long non-coding RNA (CSIN_LNC003468)". Lineage: Eukaryota; Viridiplantae; Streptophyta; Magnoliopsida; Sapindales; Rutaceae. The record is from RNAcentral.
AACCUUCCUAUUCAAUAAACAAUCAGGAAGGUAGAAACUUUACUGCAGCGCAACAUGUAAGAAUAUCCACUUUCAGAAAGGCAGAAUACAGAUAGUAUUACUCCAAAUAAUCACUCCUACCCACUGCAGCAAGCAAAAAGUAAUCAGGUCCUAAAAGAGAAUUAUAUAGCCAAAAACGUUUGAGCAAGCCCUUUUUGACAGUUUCUUUCAAAUCAUCAUAUUCCUCAAUGAGCAAAAACAGUGUCAUUGCGCCUAGGAGGUCUGUCAGGGAUUGUUCCCGGCUUGAAUUUUGAAGCCUCAUGUUUAGCCAAUUCUGGAGGCACAGGACUGUUACUCUGGAUAAGCAUCUGCUUGAGAUCAUAAAAUACAUCAGUAUCAUGGAAGGUCAAGAAUGUUGUAGCCACACCAGUCUUCCCAGCACGGCCUGUUCGUCCAAUACGAUGAGUAUACAUUUCGAUAUUCCCAGGCAUAUCAUAAUUGAUGACAUGGGCCACAUCAGGUAUAUCAAUCCCACGCCCGGCAACAUCAGUGGCAACAAGAACAUUGUACCUCUUGGUCCUAAACCCUUCAAGGCUAAUUUCUCUCUGCUCCUGUGACUUCCCACCAUGCAGAGUAGUAACACGAUAACCUAACUUAUCCAGAUUUUUUGCAACCAUGUCUGCGUUCUUCUUAGUGUUAACAAAGACAAUUGCCGUCUUAUCUCCAAGCUCGUCAAGCAAUCUCUGCAGUCUUGAAAAUUUCUCAGAUUCUUUCAUCAUUACCACAUGUUGCGAUAUCAGUUCAGUAGCCUUGCCAGCAGUGCCAAUUGUGACGACCACAGGAUUUCUCAAAUACUUCCUAGCAAGCCGUUCCACAGCAGGAGGCAUGGUAGCACUAAACAUAUAAGUAGUCCUAUAUAUCCUUUUCUCAUCAAGCUCCUCAUCUUCAUUCUCCGGCUUUAAAUUACUAGAAGGCAUUGCAUCCAGCACCCCUACAACUUGCGGCUCAAAACCCAUAUCAAUCAUCCUAUCAGCCUCAUCCAGAACAACAUAAUUACAUUGAUUCAAAACUGCAUACCGCCUCUCCAAACAGUCAAUCAGACGACCUGGUGUAGCAAUCACAACCUCACAUCCUUGCCUAAUCCUGAACCCUUGUUCCUCAAUAGACUGUCCACCGACAAUAGAAACGACUUUAAUACCCAAAUAGUGAGCAAACUUAACAGUCUCCUCCUCAAUCUGCUGAGCAAGUUCACGAGUAGGGGCCAUUACAACAGCAUAAGGUCCCUCAGCCUCAUUCUCUUCACUUAUAGGCGGUAAUCUAGAAAUAUAAGUUAACAUAGGCAAUACAAAAGCAGCAGUUUUACCAGAACCAGUCUCCGCAAUCCCAAUAACAUCUCUCUGCUGUAAACCCAACGGAAUGGCAGCCAUUUGAAUGGGCGACGGAUUCUUGUAACCAACUCUCUCAACUGCUCUUAACAGCUCAGGGGUCAAUUUACCCUCAGCCCAGUUCCUCAUUGGCCUCGGAAUCUUCGACCCUUUAUAAGAAAUGUUAAAAUCUUCCCUGAAAAUCCUCCAAUCUCUCUCAGUCAUUUCUUCAAGCUUCUUCUCAGACCAAUGCCUAUCAACUCUCAUAUCAAAAGUAUCAUACAAAUCAGCAGCUUCCUCUUUUAGUUUCAAAGCAGCAGCCUCCUCAGGCUUCUCUUCAACCCCUUCUUUUUUCCUAAUCUCUUCUCUCAUCUCUUUCUCAUUCUUGGCAGCCAACUUUUUCUGCUCCCUUCGAUCCAUCCCAGCACGAAACCCUCUCCCAAACAAAAGCUGAGCCUCGUGAGGGUUUUGAUACAGAGCAUUCAUGUCACGUGAUGUGUCCUCGGUAUUUUCCCAGUCAAACGAAAACCUAAACUUCUCGCUCGGCUUAAUGACCCUUUUCUUCGGCUUUUUAGAUCCCAAAUACUGCUCUUUGAUCAGCUCCAAUUCUCUCUCCCGCUCACGCUCGGCUAAUUUCUCCAAACGCGCACGCUCCCUCGCCUUCGCUUCUUCUUCACGCUCGCGGCGGUGUCGCUCACGCUCGCGGUCGCGCGAGUCGGAAGAGUUUCUGCCGUGGGUUUGGGGCUGAGAGAGGAGUUGUUGUUGUUGUUGUUGUUGAUCUUGUUCUUGGCGGCGUUUUUGCUGGGCGAUUUGUUCUUGGCGGCGUUCGAGGGCUAAUUGCUCGCGUUGCGCUUUCGUCAAGAACACGGGCUUCUUGUUGUUGCUGCCGCCUUCGUCCACUAAUCGAUUCAUGUUUUUGAUUGAUUUUUUUUCUAGGGUUAGGGUUUUGAAAAGAGAUUCGCUUGGUUAAUUGCAGGAGGGGAAUUUUGAUAAAAUUAAAACCUUGCUUACUUACUGAACACGGAUUUGAUGACAGACGCUUGCACAAUGCGCUGCGUUUCACUCUCUCACUCUCAUAGAUACACCGUUGACCGAUACUCUUAUUUUCAUUUUUUUUCUCUUCUUUUUCGCGAAAAUAAAAAAAUUACUGCAAAUAUUUUCGGACAAUAAAAUUCAAGAAUACAAAUUAGGGGUGGGAGUUUCUCGGUUCGGUUCGAUUCGAGGCUAGAACUGAACCGAACCAAAAUUCAUCAAUUCAAAAGAUUUCAAAUUGAAUACGAAUUAAAUUUUAGACCCAAACCGAGUCGAAUUGAAAUAUUCAAUUUGGUUCGGUUUAUAUAUUUUCUCAAUUUUAUAAUUUUUAAGUAAUUUUACUAUAUUUUAUAAUUUUCACCUAAUUUUAUUGAAUUUUACAAUUUAUAUAUGUACUUAUUAUUAACUACACUCUACACACAUAGUAACACUAGAUGUAAAUAAAUAAGUACAAAAUCAUCAAGUCAAAAGCAAAAUAAUAAAAGUCCCAAUAUAAAAUAGUUGCAAAUCAUAAACACACCUAAAUUUAAAAUCUAUUACAAAUUAUAAAUCCAUAAAAACAAAAAACAUAAUACAACAAGUCCGUAAUAUUGCAUCGACAUUUGAUAAAAACUCCAUUAUAACACAAGCCUAAACUACAUCCACCGUCCAUAUCACUUGCAUCAAAAUUCAAAGUGAGCCAAAGCACUCAAUAAUUAAAGUAAAUAAAAUAAAGUGAUAUUUAACAAUUAACAAAUAAAUAAAUAAAUACAGUAAGCUUUGGAUCGUAUGAAACAGUAGUCUUUGUAGCGUAUGUCGGAAUAGUGACUUUGUAGAAAUACGGGUGAAGAGACAUGUGCGCUCUCACUUGUGUCUAGAGGACCACCCGGAAAUACAAGAAUAUCAAACAAAUUUUUUUUUUUUUUAAGUAAAUAAUCAAAUAAUUAUUUACAAUGCUUUAUCGGAGAGAAAAUGCCGAAACAAUCAUCUUCAUUUUCGUCUCCAAGAGAAAUGAAAGGCAUAUAUAUAUAUAUAUAUAAUUUAAUUACCUAAAAAAUGGUUUAUCUUGAGCUGUAGUUUUCAUGUUAACCUACCAAGUUGAUCGACCAUUGUUGAUUUGCGAAGUUCUACAUAGAAAAAAGUUAACAAAUUGAACAAGGUUCAUAUUUCUUAAAAAUUAAACUUAAAUAAAAAUUAAACAAAUUGUAUAAGGUUCAUAAUACUUAAAAGUAAAUUAAAAUUAAAAUUUUACAAAAUACACCUUCUACAAGUUGAUCCAUAAACUUAUUGUCUUCAACUAAUUUAUUUAAGUCUGUUGUUGCAUCCACAAAAGGAGAAGACCGCAACCAAUUCUAUAACAAUACCAAUGCUUCAACCAUGUCCGGAGUGAAUGAGCUUCUUUAUUGAUGUAGUAAAUGACCUCCAGUAUUAAAGGCAGACUUAAAAGCAACAGUAGACACCAAAAUAGCAAGAACAUGCCUCGCUAUACUUGACAAGAUUGGAUAAUUGGCACUAUUCACCCUCCACUAUAACAAAAUAUCCAAUUUAGUGUCCAAAUUACUUUUUGCAAUUUGUUUAAUCUUCUCCAUCAAGUAAAGUUCCAACUCAUUUGACAAUUCCGAGUUACCUUCAGUAAUCGCAGCCGCUUUACUGAAUUCGGAGAAAGGAUCCUUAAUCAUAACAUCAUCACCAUCACCCAAAUCCCAAAAUUUUGAACAACUUCCACUUCCAAUAGCUAAAUUUUGGCCUCUGCUUGUACUUCUGCUUGCACUUCCACCACCAUUUCCACUAUCGCCCAGUUUAUACUAUGCAUUAUAAACUCAUAAAGCUUUAGUCAACAAAUUUUUGACCAUUUCCUUCAUCUCAACACAUUUGGCACUAUCUUUACCAUAUAAUUUCUCAAAGCAAUGUGUUGGGAAUUUCAUUUUUCCCUGUGGAUCAAGUAUAGAAGCAAUAAUCAACAACUUAUUUAUCUUGAAACAGCCCUCCUAAUGCUUAUCAAAAUUUUCCUUCAUUUUAAUUGCCAUCAAACCCAAAAGGUUAUCAUUACUAGUAGACAAUUAUUUCAGAGAUUGUUGAAUUUGACAUAUCAAAUUGUAACAAAUAUUUGAUGUCACCUAAAAAAAAAAAAAUGUUAAUAAAGCUAAAGUAAAUUUUGUAUCAUAUAUCAAAAUUAAAAAAUGUAACAAAGAUUUGAUCUUACCUUCAAAGAUGAAGAAAACUGUAAAGUCGCAUUAUAAAAAAUCUUUAAAAACUUGAUUAUGUGACUAGCAUUCUUCCAAUCAUGUACAAUAGUGGUCCCUCUUUUUUCUUCUUCUCACCCUCUUUUUCAUUGCAAUAAGCAUCAUAAAGCCUAUCUUCAAGUGUCAUCCGAUUAAAUACCGACUUAAAUUUUAAUGUGGUAUGCAAUAUAAAAUUCCACCUAAUAGGCAACCCAAAAUCACACUUUCUCGGCAAUUAAUCUUCUCUUGUUGCACACAAAUUUAAAAUUCUUGCAUCCUUGGCGGUGGAAGACCUCACAUACUUUACAGCAUUUUGAACACUAACUAUACUUUGCUCCAAUUUCCUCAAUAUUUUAAUAACAAUCAAAUUCAAUAUAUGUGCCCAACAACAAACAUGCAAAUAAUCCUCAUUCAACACUAAGGCAUCAUCCCUCCAAGUCUUUACUCUAUUAGUUAAAUACCUAAGAGCACCUUCGUUUGGACUUACAUUAUCAACAAUUAUAGUAAACACUCGCUCAAUACCCUGGUCAAUUAGGUGAUUUUCAAGUUGCUUACCAAUUGUCUCCGAUGAAUGAUCAUUAACAGUGUUAAAACUAAUAAUCUUUCUAUGUAAAUUCCAAUCUUUGUUAAUAAAAUGAGUUGUGAUGACCAUGUAGCUAGCUGUUGUAAUGGAAGUCCAGAUAUCAGUGGUCAAAUAUACCCGCUGCUUAUUCCCAACUAAUAAGCAUUUCAACUUAACCUUUUCCUCUAAAUACAUCUUGAUAGUAUCCCUAGUAAUGGUUCUUCGUGAUGGGAGAAGAUAUCUCGAAGCAGCCACACUAAAAAAAUGCCUAAACCUAGAUUCUCCACAAUAGAAAAAGUCAAAUAAUCAAGAAUAAUCAUUUUCACGGUUGCUCAUUUGCAAGCUUUCUGACUGAAUCCUUUUGCUAUAAUUUCAUCACUACCAACAUCUUCAGUUAAAGUUGUUUGAUCUUUCUUAAAGUCCUUGAUUUUUUUACACAUUUCUCAGUUAUGAGGGAGGAGAGAACAAACACAAAUAUUUUUACGUGGUUCAGCAAUCACUGCCUACGUCUACGCCUUCAAGCAAACCAAGCUUGAGGAUUUCACUAUCCAAGCCUUCCAAGGUUUCAAAUGUUUACAAUUGACUUCCAAUGUGUCAAUGGACUUUUACAACAAGAGAUUAUCCACAAUCUCUCCACCCAAGUAUAUCCUAACACUUACAACCUCUCAACUUGAUUUUACAAAAAUGAUUACAAAUAAAUUCCCCUCACACAAUUGUGUUUAAUUACAAAUGAAAGCCUAAUGUGUGUGAAUGAAUGAAAUAAAUACAAAAAUUAUAUGCUCAUAUUAUAGAGGAAUGCUCAAUGAUAACAAUGGUUUUAUCUUCUUAAUUGAAUUUGAUUUAAGGCAUUUUAUAGUUGGAGUAGAAAACUAGACGUUAUUGACUUUCUGGUGAUAACCGGCUUGCCGCUUUGGGUUAACUGAAUUGCCGCUUGAUGUCCUUUUUACAGAAAACUCUGAAUGCAUCAAAGGCAUCAUCCUUAUUAGCUAAGAACAAUACCUAUGUGUAUCUAGAAUAAUCAUCCACAAUUACAAAUGCAUAAUAUUUUCCACUUAAACUAGCAUAUCUAGAAGGUCCAAACAAAUCUAUGUGAAAUAAUUGAAGUGGUUUUGAAGUAUUUUCCUAUAAAAGCUACUAUGGAUGCCAAGUGUUGCGUCGGUUACAAUGCUCUAGUGUCAGCCAGACAAGUAUCCUUCCCUUGCUCUUUAUAAGCAAACUCCCCGGUUUAUAACUUGUAAACGCAAUUCAACAUUUCAAAAUAAAAUUUGAAAAAAUAAUAAUAAUAAUAAUAAAAUAAUUUCAUCCAAAUUCUAUCUGGGAAAAAUGGCUUGCAGGGCAACUGUAAGUUUUCAGAAACAUACUGUUUAAUCACCAGCAAUGGCCAAUACGGUGGUUGAUGAUUGACGAUGCUAAUUCAUUUGCAGGUUUAUUGGAGAUCAAUGCUGAUUGGCUUGGGUGGAAACCGCUCAUUUGCUACAUCAACUACUCCCAAGAUGAAACAUUUUGCACAAACUGCAGAAGCUGCUAAUGGAAAUCACUCUUACUCCAAGUUAGUCAAUAAACACUACUCUAUUAGUUAAUAGUUUUAAAUUCUGCAUUUUAUUAGACUGGACAAUAAUGUAACAAAGUGUGCUCUUAAUCCCAGGUUUUCGGCAACAGGAGAGUUUGCACCUAUCUAUAUGGUGUUGGGACUGGUGGCAGUGGCAGUGACAAUAGGGACACACACAAUCAAACAGCAACUGGCUCAUUCUCCGAGCGUCAGCCUUAGCAAGAAGAAGAGGAGUUCACUUUCCGAAGUGGAAGAUCCAGAAAGCGCUGUGAACUCUUCUGACAAGUUUGUGAACAAAUCUUUCCUGAGGAAGGUGGCUCACAUCCAGGAUGAUAACCGUGUGCUUCCUGAUAUUCCCCACCCUGACCCUUUUACCAGAGCACGAAAGGCAGACACUCCGUAGAUUAACAAGACUGCAGGAGUUGAUGCGAGUCACCUGUGAAACAAACCCAGAUCCAAUUUCUGUUUCCUAUACAUGGUUUCUUAUAGUUUAUUAACACGAGAUGGUGUCAAUUGUUAAUAAAAUUGCUUCAAUUUUUGUUUUCCUUUUCCUUAGUUAAAAGCUUUGCCUAGGCUUUCAUUAGUUAAAAGCUUUGAUAAUGCCGAUGUUAAAUUAUUGGGUCAAUUCUACUGAUAAAAUGGACACCUUAUUAUUGUGUGUGAUAUAUACCGGAGGAUUUUGUUUCAUUCUUUCCUUGUAUUGCUAGCAUUUAAUAUGUUUUCCAAACAACACGAAAUGAAAAUAGAAAACACAAGUUCAAACGUAGUUUUUUUCUUUUUUCCCAAUUUUUCAAGAAGUUUAAACAUAGUUAACAAAAUUGUAAAGCUUCCUUCAAUCUUCCCAAACACCGACCAAAAACAUAAACAAAAACAAAAUUCCUUUCUUUAUAAUCAGUCAAUACCCUACAUCUGAACAAAUGACCGUGAAAGGGUCACCAAUUAGGCACUAACUGCUAACCCCAAGGCCCUUUAUCAACCAACCUCUCCUCAUAUGGGGCUUUCCUCAUUUGGGGUUUUUUGAUGGAGGAUGCCGAAUUGCCAUUACGAAUUCACCAAAUGACCCUAUAGGAUAUAAUCAGCCGAAUUUGAUGCAAUGAUACAUGUACCAACAUCAAAUACUUGCAACUCGUCUAGUUUACAACAAUUUUUGUAACAAUGUUCACAAGUUUUUCAUUAUACUUGCUACGUUUGUGUUAUAUAUAACUAAAGUUAUGGUAUAAAUUUGUAAAUGUAAUAAAAAAUUUUGUGACCAAUAACAAGGGAAAAAAAACUUAUAUGGCGGUAACAUUAACCACAUACACCUAUCAAGGUAGUUUCUCCCCCAAAGCAAACUUCUUGUUCUUUCAGAAAUGUACGAGGCUUCUACUGAUUCUUUUGGAAGGUAUAUCUAAAUAAAAACAAAAGUAAGCAUCAACGUAGAAAAUAAUAACAAUUGCCAAUCUAACAGUGGUAAGCAUUCUCUCUGAAGAUGAGAGAGCUCACAAGUCAACAAAACUUUGCAAUAUUCAUUUAUAAUCAUUUCUGCGACACCAUUUUAGAUAUUUAAUGAUUGAACAACCAUCAAAAACUGCCAAACAGCGCCACUCGGCCUUUGGCCGAGUGGUGAGAGCUGCUGCUCUCCAACUUGGAGAGCAGCAGUUCGAACCCCCACAAUGCAUGUGGGGGUGUUUCCUUCCUCAAAUAAAAUUGAGUGAAGGCAGUCUGCUUCUUUGCCCCAAUGCGAGGAGUAGACAUCCCUCGAAUAUUUGAGAGGGUUAAAAUCUGGACAGCGCUCCAUUAGAUUUGAUGUAUGUUGGUCCCAGUUAUAGUCUGAUUUGUACAUAUUAGUUAUAUUCUCAUGUAAUAUGAGUUGUAAUCUGAGCAAUAAUCUCAUAUAAUCAAAAAAAAAAAAAAACUGCCAAACAGCAUAGUAACAACCACAGAAGCAAAUUCUGAACCCAUCAAGAAGAAUACUAACUCAAGUAUGAAGCACAUAAGCAGGAUUUAUAAAUAUCUUGUUGCUAUGAUGGUUCCAGAAACUAGAAGACAACGAUGAAUGCAAAUACUGAACAUGAAACAAUUGCAUCUACAUGACCUGUGUCUGUUUUCCCAGCAAAACAACACAGUAUAUAAUUAGAAAAUUCAACUUUAAUAUGAAUUCAUAGGAAGAGAGCGAACUAAAGUUACACUGCUAAUUUGAGCUUGUCUAACCACACAACAUAUCACCAGAGGAUAGAAAUUUGUAUAAAGGUGACAGUCACCAGUCACCAUGCAUAAGACCAGCUCUUUAAUAAUAUUUCAUUUGGUCAUUUCACAAACAAGUUUUAAGUUCAACUAUUGUAUAAAUAAUCCAACAGCUUACCAAUCGAAAUUUCAUGAAAGCAUGACUUAGUCAGGAUCUACAUCAUAUCAAGCGUCUGGCAAUACAUCCAUAUACCUGGCUACAUUGAAGCCAGCAAAACCAUGCUAAAAAAGUUAACACAUUCAUAAAAGCAAUAUCAAGAAUCCUCGGAGUAACGUUUAUCACAUUAUAAUCGAGGAGUAAGUUACUGAAAACAUAAAAUAAGUAAGUAAGAAGUCCGUGCUUUAAGAUAAUAUCAGAAUUUCAAGUGAACUACUUAUGUAAGCAUAAAAGAGGGAGGAUUGAAAUUUCAUGACAGCAAGACAUAAGCCUCUGACAAGACGUCCAGACAGUGGCCAAAAUGAAGCCAACUAACCCAUGCUAACAAAGUUAGCAUGUUCACAUACGCAGAAUCAAGCAAUAAUGUCAAACACAUCAAAAUAGGGGAAUUUGUUGCCGAAAACAUAAAAUAAUAAAAAAAUCCAUCUUUGAGAUAAUAUCAGCAUUUAAAAUGAACUAGUUAUGUAAGUAUAAAAGGAGAGGUCAAUGAUACAUCCUCGAUAAUAUGAUUAUCAAAACCUUCCUAUUCAAUAAACAAUCAGGAAGGUAGAAACUUUACUGCAGCGCAACAUGUAAGAAUAUCCACUUUCAGAAAGGCAGAAUACAGAUAGUAUUACUCCAAAUAAUCACUCCUACCCACUGCAGCAAGCAAAAAGUAAUCAGGUCCUAAAAGAGAAUUAUAUAGCCAAAA